AGAGUUUGAUCAUGGCUCAGGAUGAACGCUAGCGGCAGGCUUAACACAUGCAAGUCGAGGGGUAUAGGUUUUCGGACCUAGAGACCGGCGCACGGGUGCGUAACGCGUAUGCAAUCUACCUUUUACAGAGGGAUAGCCCAGAGAAAUUUGGAUUAAUACCUCAUAGUAUUAUUGAAUGGCAUCAUUUAAUAAUUAAAGUCACAACGGUAAAAGAUGAGCAUGCGUCCCAUUAGCUUGUUGGUAAGGUAACGACUUACCAAGGCAACGAUGGGUAGGGGUCCUGAGAGGGAGAUCCCCCACACUGGUACUGAGACACGGACCAGACUCCUACGGGAGGCAGCAGUGAGGAAUAUUGGUCAAUGGGCGCAAGCCUGAACCCAGCCAUGCCGCGUGCAGGAUGAAGCAUCUAUGGUGUGUAAACUGCUUUUGUACGAGAAGAAACACUCCUACGUGUAGGAGCUUGACGGUAUCGUAAGAAUAAGGACCGGCUAACUCCGUGCCAGCAGCCGCGGUAAUACGGAGGGUCCAAGCGUUAUCCGGAAUCAUUGGGUUUAAAGGGUCCGUAGGCGGUUUUGUAAGUCAGUGGUGAAAGCCCAUCGCUCAACGGUGGAACGGCCAUUGAUACUGCAAGACUUGAAUUAUUGGGAAGUAACUAGAAUAUGUAGUGUAGCGGUGAAAUGCUUAGAGAUUACAUGGAAUACCAAUUGCGAAGGCAGGUUACUAUCAAUAUAUUGACGCUGAUGGACGAAAGCGUGGGGAGCGAACAGGAUUAGAUACCCUAGUAGUCC
Molecule: ribosomal RNA, 788 nt
Filed under: uncultured bacterium
Lineage: Bacteria
Description: bacterial SSU rRNA
Rfam family: Bacterial small subunit ribosomal RNA
Source: RNAcentral